RNAcentral lists this transfer RNA (89 nucleotides) under Clostridiales bacterium. RNAcentral describes it as "tRNA-Ser". It matches the Rfam family "tRNA". Rfam says of the family: Transfer RNA (tRNA) molecules are approximately 80 nucleotides in length. Their secondary structure includes four short double-helical elements and three loops (D, anti-codon, and T loops). The record is from RNAcentral. RNAcentral also lists the same sequence under 3 other names. Lineage: Bacteria; Bacillati; Bacillota; Clostridia; Eubacteriales.
GGAGAGGUGUCCGAGUGGUUUAUGGAGCUGGUCUUGAAAACCAGUGAUCCCGCGAGGGACCAAGAGUUCGAAUCUCUUCCUCUCCGCCA